CCGCGCUGUGGACGACGCCGCACGCCCCUGGUGGGGGCGUGCGGUCACAUCGUGCCGGUGCCGACGUUCAGGACGUUGCCGUCCGGA
RNAcentral lists this transfer RNA (87 nucleotides) under Phytohabitans suffuscus. RNAcentral describes it as "tRNA-Thr". The record is from RNAcentral. Lineage: Bacteria; Bacillati; Actinomycetota; Actinomycetes; Micromonosporales; Micromonosporaceae.